RNAcentral lists this ribosomal RNA (116 nucleotides) under Bacillus pumilus. The record is from RNAcentral. Lineage: Bacteria; Bacillati; Bacillota; Bacilli; Caryophanales; Bacillaceae. RNAcentral also lists the same sequence under 14 other names.
UCUGGUGAUGAUGGCGAAGAGGUCACACCCGUUCCCAUGCCGAACACGGAAGUUAAGCUCUUCAGCGCCGAUGGUAGUUGGGGGUCUCCCCCUGUGAGAGUAGGACAUCGCCAGGC